AUUGAACGCUGGCGGCAUGCUUUACACAUGCAGGUCGGACGGCAGCACAGAGAAGCUUGCUUCUUGGGUGGCGAGUGGCGAACGGGUGAGUAAUAUAUCGGAACGUACCGAGUAAUGGGGGAUAACUAAUCGAAAGAUUAGCUAAUACCGCAUAUUCUCUGAGGAGGAAAGCAGGGGACCUUCGGGCCUUGCGUUAUUCGAGCGGCCGAUAUCUGAUUAGCUAGUUGGUGGGGUAAAGGCCUACCAAGGCGACGAUCAGUAGCGGGUCUGAAAGGAUGAUCCGCCACACUGGGACUGAGACACGGCCCAGACUCCUACGGGAGGCAGCAGUGGGGAAUUUUGGACAAUGGGCGCAAGCCUGAUCCAGCCAUGCCGCGUGUCUGAAGAAGGCCUUCGGGUUGUAAAGGACUUUUGUCAGGGAAGAAAAGGCUGUUGCUAAUACCGACAGCUGAUGACGGUACCUGAAGAAUAAGCACCGGCUAACUACGUG
Molecule: ribosomal RNA, 490 nt
Filed under: uncultured bacterium
Lineage: Bacteria
Description: partial 16S ribosomal RNA
Rfam family: Bacterial small subunit ribosomal RNA
Source: RNAcentral